UAAGGAAUAUUGGUCAAUGGACGAAAGUCUGAACCAGCCAUGCCGCGUGGAGGAUGAAGGCCCUCUGGGUUGUAAACUUCUUUUAUAUGGGACGAAAAAGGGUCUUUCUAGAUCAACUGACGGUACCAGGUGAAUAAGCACCGGCCAACUCCGUGCCAGCAGCCGCGGUAAUACGGAGGGUGCAAGCGCUAUCCGGAUUCAUAGGGUUUAAAGGGUGCGUAGGAGGGUUGGUAAGUCAGUGGUGAAAUCUCCGAGCUUAACUUGGAAACUGCCAUUGAUACUAUCAAUCUUGAUUAUUGUGGAGGUUAGCGGAAUAUGUCAUGUAGAGGUGAAAUGCUUAGAUAUGACAUAGAACACCCAUUGCGAAGGCAGCUGGCUACGCAUAUAUUGACACUGAGGCACGAAAGCGUGAGGAUCAAACA
Molecule: ribosomal RNA, 422 nt
Filed under: uncultured bacterium
Lineage: Bacteria
Description: bacterial SSU rRNA
Rfam family: Bacterial small subunit ribosomal RNA
Source: RNAcentral